GCGGAGGAAAAGAAACCAACAGGGAUUGCCUCAGUAACGGCGAGUGAAGCGGCAACAGCUCAAAUUUGAAAUCUGGCCCCCUCGGGGCCCGAGUUGUAAUUUGGAGAAGAUGCUUCGGGUGUGGCCCCGGUCUAAGUUCCUUGGAACAGGACGUCACAGAGGGUGAGAAUCCCGUACGUGCCCGGUGGCCGCGCCCGUGUGAAGCUCUUUCGACGAGUCGAGUUGUUUGGGAAUGCAGCUCAAAAUGGGUGGUAAAUUUCAUCUAAAGCUAAAUAUUGGCCAGAGACCGAUAGCGCACAAGUAGAGUGAUCGAAAGAUGAAAAGCACUUUGGAAAGAGAGUUAAACAGUACGUGAAAUUGUUGAAAGGGAAGCGCUUGCAACCAGACUUGCGCGCGGCCGAUGCUCGGUGUUGUUUGUCCAGCCAGGCAACCCGCGCCUGGCCUGCAUCGGUUUGGGUGGCUGGACAAAGGCCUCGGGAAUGUAGCCCCCCUCGGGGGGUGUUAUAGCCCGAGGCGCAAUGCAGCCUACCCGGACCGAGGACCGCGCUUCGGCUAGGAUGCUGGCGUAAUGGUUGUAAGCGGCCCGUCUUGAAACACGGACCAAGGAGUCUAACAUCUAUGCGAGUGUUUGGGUGUCAAACCCAUACGCGGAAUGAAAGUGAACGGAGGUGAGAGCCCUUAAGGGUGCAUCAUCGACCGAUCCUGAUGUCUUCGGAUGGAUUUGAGUAAGAGCAUAGCUGUUGGGACCCGAAAGAUGGUGAACUAUGCCUGAAUAGGGUGAAKCCAGAGGAAACUCUGGUGGAGGCUCGCAGCGGUUCUGACGUGCAAAUCGAUCGUCAAAUUUGGGCAUAGGGGCGAA
RNAcentral lists this unclassified non-coding RNA (859 nucleotides) under Oidiodendron mellicola. Its description in RNAcentral is "Oidiodendron sp. 1 ERA-2017 sequence contains 28S rRNA gene". It matches the Rfam family "Eukaryotic large subunit ribosomal RNA", at positions 50 to 927 of the family's 3401-position model. Lineage: Eukaryota; Fungi; Ascomycota; Leotiomycetes; Myxotrichaceae. The record is from RNAcentral.